Vidua chalybeata is the source of this 605-nucleotide long non-coding RNA. RefSeq lists it as uncharacterized. The record is from RefSeq and is a predicted model, not a curated record. The transcript is spliced from 4 exons. Lineage: Eukaryota; Metazoa; Chordata; Aves; Passeriformes; Viduidae.
UCCCCGCGGCUGUGCCCGCUCCAAUCUCGGCCGCCGCCGGGCCCUCCCCGCCGGCCCCGGGCCGGGGGUGAAGGUGACCCGGGAGCGCUCCGGGCCGCGGCCGCGCUGCCCGCGGGCCCCGCGCAGCGCUGACAGCCCAGGCUGAGAGCAGGGCUGCUGCCCUGGCUGUGCCCAUGUCCCUUCUCCUCCCCUCGGAAAGGAUGAAUUGCCACAGAACUGGACAGAGCUUGAGAUGCCUCCACAUCAAACCAACCUAAGAGUACCAAGUUCCCAACAGAUCCCUCCUCCAGAUCAAUGCUGCCCAGGACUGAAGCCCUUGGAAGCCCAUCCCUGGAGCAGGAGCCACGUUUGCACAAACAGGCAAUUUGCACGUUAUGCAGCCUCCUGCCCUUUGAAGAUGCAGCAGAGCUGCUGUUGAAGCCAACAACAGCCAAGUCUCUGCAUCACUGGCAGGAUGUUGCUGCGAAGGUUUACGGGAUUGACUUCUCAGUGACUAAACCUAACGAUGAGAGCACAGGAGAGCUGACCUUGGAAAAUUAUCUCAUCCUGUUUAAAGUCACACAAAACCCUUGGCCAAAUCUCUUAAUAUAAAAUAUUUCACGUCA